Gossypium arboreum is the source of this 2732-nucleotide long non-coding RNA. RefSeq lists it as uncharacterized. The transcript has 5 exons. The record is from RefSeq and is a predicted model, not a curated record. NCBI's taxonomy places the organism in Eukaryota, Viridiplantae, Streptophyta, Magnoliopsida, Malvales, Malvaceae.
AACCUAUUUUAUUUCUCCUGCACCACAACCCCGAAAUCCCUUAUCAAACUUUUCCCCAAAUUUUACCCAUUGAAACCCCUUUAAUUUCCCCUUAAAAUUUCCCCCUAAAAUCGGUAUCCCCAAAACACAUCUAAUUUUUCCCCCAAAUCGAAAUCCUUCCACCAUUUCCAUGUCGCCAUACUGAUCCGUAAUCCUCAGCAUCUCUCUCACUGCAUUUCCUGCUUCUCUAAAACUCCAUCUCUAAAUUUCCUUCUCUAAAUCUCCAUCCUUCUGAUUUUCGCCGAAAUCUUGUAAGUCUAAGUUCAAAUCGAAGCAUUUGCAAUCUGUUCCCUUAUUCAUAGGCUAUGAUGGCCUUCUGUUUUCAUACCUUCGUUUUUCCAACUAAUUUGUCCAUCAAAGCGAGAAGUAAUGGUGUUCGGAAGCUUCAAACAGAGGGCACUCUUCUACCAAAAGCUCCCAAGGGUUGGGGAUGGAGGACAACCUUGUUGUUUGAUGAACUUGCUGAUCUUCUUCAAAAUGGCGCCUUGAGAGUAGCUGCCAUGAAUUCUAUAUUUUCAUUUGACAUGAAUUUGUAAAAUGGCAUAUAAGUGUUUGUUGCUUUGUCUCUAUGUAUCGUUCUUUCUAACAUUUUAACGAGUGUAAUAUGUUUCAUUAGUUUAAAAAAUUCGGUGUUUUACGAUCUGCCAUUUUUUGUAUAUGUUUUAGAAACUUCUAUUUUUUGACCGGCGAUGGGAAAGAAAGGGAGUGGAUGGUUCUCGAUGGUGAAGAAAGUGUUCAAAUCAUCUAGCAAAGACUUGCCAGACAAAAAAGUACAGCAGCACCGCAAGGAAGAAAAGCAGAGAGGUUUUUGUUAGGCAGUUAUUAUUAUUAUUCUAAUUAUUAUUAAUAUAAUUAGUAAUAAAUAAUUUCAUGAAAUAGUAAAAAAAAUCCAAUUCCUCAAAAAAGAUGUCUUACACUCCGAAGGAGUACAAAAGCUAGUUUCUAUAAACAUGAAAGAGUUGCUAAGUAUUGCUGCAGAAGACAAGAGGUAGCUUACGUACUUUAAAUUAUUCUUGAUGCAGGAGAUGCUGUGCUAUUUCUUGUACUUUAACAUCCCAUUAUAACACUCUAAGGUCCAUUGUUUAGCAGUUUUUACAUUGCACUCUUUUACUUUGUAUUGAAGUUUUCUCUGCGAUAAACAACUUUAUUUUUCCUGCUUAUUAGUUCCACUUCUAAAUUAUUUAAUUUGGCCAUUCAGUUAUUCACCACCAUUCUUUAAAAAAAAAUUACGUUUUUUCCCUGUAUAUUUGUUUGUAUGUCCAAGUAAGUAAAACUUAGCAAGUUAGAAGUGAAAAACAGGCGUUUAGUUAAUUCUUUUAUGGAGAAAAGUUUUUGUUUAUUUUUGGUUGGUAUUGUUUCCCUGUAAAACAAUGACUUGAAAUACUUCUUUUGGUUGUUAGUUUGAGUGUGCAUACUCCAGGUUUAAAUUCUUGACCUCGAAUGGGAGAUAGUGAAGCAAUAGUUGCUGACUCAUCAGCAAUGAUGGAUUAUACUUCAGCAGCUUAUAAUUCAGCUGGUUCUGGCGCUUACUCCUCCCAGGCUACUGGAUAUCCUACUGCUCCUGAUGGUCACCCAAAUUCUACUGGUCAAGAAGGUCAAAGCAGUGCAAUGUAUGACUGUAAGCCAGCUGGUGGAUCAACAGAUGAGACUGCUGUUGCAGUUGGAAAUACUGCAGUAGAUGCAUCAAAAGCUGCUGGUUGUAAUUAUCCUCUAAGUGGAAAUGUUGUUAAUGUAGCAGGAAAUGCAACCACAGUUGAGAAUGGAAAUGCUUUUGAUAAUUAGGUGGAGCUUCUGCUGCACCAGAGUUUGUGGAUGGUUCUGGUAUGUUUUUCUCGGGCAUUUACUAAUAAGUCAGCUUAGUAAUGAUUUUAAUAUUUUGAUUCAUUUUUCUGCUAUUUGUAUAUCAAGUUAACAAGCCUAUUGUAUGCCAUAAUGACUUGAAACUCCGUUAGCACAGAAGCAGCCUUUUUCUCUUGACACUUUGCCAUUAAGCUUUGUUCCUGAUCAACGUGAUGUGGAUGAUUGUUCUGGGGACAUCUGCAGUCUACACUUAGUUUUUAUUAAAAGCAUCUUAUUCAACAUUUUACCUUCCCCUUUUAUUAUUGUUAUUAUAGUGUUUAAGUUUUAGAAAAUGUGAAACUUAAUUGUUUCUUUAUUUUUAUUUUUGACAUCUGGCACCAACCAUGUCUGCUGAAGAAGAACGUUUAUGGAGUAUUUUGAGAGCCAAUUCAUUGGAUUUUAAUGCUUGGACUGCAUUGAUAGAGGAAACAGAGAAGGUUGCAGAGACAAGAAAUGUGAUGAAGAUGAUUAUAUUCUCACCUACCAGGACAAAGAAGGAGAAUGGCUGAUUGCAGGCGAUAUUCCAUGGCACUGUUGGUUUCAAUUAGAUGAGGCUAACAUCUCCAUCACCGGUGUAUAGAGGUAUCUUCGCCACGUUCCUCGCAGGUUCAAGACAGGUUUCAGGGGAGGUACUGAAGCAGCACUAAGAAAGAAGGUUGCAGCAGCUUCUGCUUAAAAGGCAAAUUGUAAUGGUAUGAGGUUUUGUUUUGGAUGAAGCCAUGUUUAUGAGGAAACAUUUAGUGAUGAAGAGUGAAAUUAUGUUCCAUUGGAUGCUUUAGUUGUUAUUUAGUUUCUAUUUGAAUAUAGCUGUCUUAUAUUUUGAACAUUUAUUGGAGCUAAUGUUUGACCCUUAA